This 198-nucleotide ribosomal RNA is filed under the name Arthrobacter sp. F. Its description in RNAcentral is "partial 16S ribosomal RNA". It matches the Rfam family "Bacterial small subunit ribosomal RNA", at positions 54 to 248 of the family's 1533-position model. Lineage: Bacteria; Bacillati; Actinomycetota; Actinomycetes; Micrococcales; Micrococcaceae. The record is from RNAcentral.
CUACCAUGCAGUUCGAACGAUGAAGCCCAGCUUGCUGGGUGGAUUAGUGGCGAACGGGUGAGUAACACGUGAGUAACCUGCCCUUGACUCUGGGAUAAGCCUGGGAAACUGGGUCUAAUACCGGAUAUGACCUUCCAUCGCAUGGUGGUUGGUGGAAAGCUUUUGUGGUUUUGGAUGGACUCGCGGCCUAUCAGCUUG